This 204-nucleotide long non-coding RNA is filed under the name Gossypium raimondii (Peruvian cotton). RNAcentral describes it as "long non-coding RNA (GRAI_LNC001972)". Lineage: Eukaryota; Viridiplantae; Streptophyta; Magnoliopsida; Malvales; Malvaceae. The record is from RNAcentral.
ACAUUUUCUUCGAUUUCCCGUAUCAAAUCAACACCAAAUAACUUUUUCUCACUCAGCUCAGCCCACAACAAUGGAGUUUGACACUUUCGACCAUACAAAGCCCGUACGGUGCAAUUUUAAUGCUCGCUUGAUAACUGUUGUUGUAUGCAAAUUCAACCAACGGUAGAAAUCUCUCCUAGUUACCUUCGAACUCUAAAACACAAC